GAUGAAGAACGUAGCGAAAUGCGAUAAGUAAUGUGAAUUGCAGAAUUCAGUGAAUCAUCGAAUCUUUGAACGCACAUUGCGCCCGCCAGUAUUCUGGCGGGCAUGCCUGUUCGAGCGUCAUUUCAACCCUCAGGGCCCUUUUGGACCUGGCGUUGGGGCUCGGCCGCUACCCUGCGGCCGUCCCCGAAAGAUAGUGGCGGUCUCGCUGUAGCCUACUCUGCGUAGUAGUUACAUCUCGCACUGGAACGCGGCGCGGCCAUGCCGUUAAACACCCCACUUCUCAAGGUUGACCUCGGAUCAGGUAGGAAUACCCGCUGAACUUAAGCAUAUCAAUAAGCGGAGGA
This 344-nucleotide unclassified non-coding RNA is filed under the name soil metagenome. RNAcentral describes it as "partial contains 5.8S ribosomal RNA, internal transcribed spacer 2, and large subunit ribosomal RNA". The stretch from base 1 to 120 matches the Rfam family "5.8S ribosomal RNA", at positions 35 to 154 of the family's 154-position model. The record is from RNAcentral.